Molecule: ribosomal RNA, 488 nt
Filed under: uncultured bacterium
Lineage: Bacteria
Description: bacterial SSU rRNA
Rfam family: Bacterial small subunit ribosomal RNA
Source: RNAcentral
AACGAACGCUGGUGGCGCGCCUAAUACAUGCAAGUCGAGCGAGAAGACGUAGCAAUACGUUUGUAAAGCGGCGAACGGGUGAGGAAUACAUGGGUAACCUACCCUCGAGUGGGGAAUAACUAGCCGAAAGGUUAGCUAAUACCGCGUACGCUCCUUGGACUUCGGUUCAGGGAGGGAAGCGAUACCGUGGGUAUCGCGCUCUUGGAUGGGCUCAUGUCCUAUCAGCUUGUUGGUGAGGAACGGCUCACCAAGGCUUCGACGGGUAGCUGGUCUGAGAGGACGAUCAGCCACACUGGCACUGCGACACGGGCCAGACUCCUACGGGAGGCAGCAGUAAGGAAUAUUGCGCAAUGGGCGAAAGCCUGACGCAGCGACGCCGCGUGGGGGAUGAAGGUCUUCGGAUUGUAAACCCCUUUCGGGAGGGAAGAUGGAACGAGCAAUCGUUCGGACGGUACCUCCAGAAGCAGCCACGGCUAACUUCGUGCCAG